AUUGAACGCUGGCGGCAGGCCUAACACAUGCAAGUCGAACGAGUGGCGGACGGGUGAGUAAUGUCUGGGAAACUGCCUGAUGGAGGGGGAUAACUACUGGAAACGGUAGCUAAUACCGCAUACCAUCGGAUGUGCCCGGAUGGGAUUAGCUAGUUGGUGGGGUAAAGGCUCACCUAGGCGACGAUCCCUAGCUGGUCUGAGAGGAUGACCAUCCAGACUGGACCUGAGACACGGUCCAGACUCCUACGGGAGGCAGCAGUGGGGAAUAUGGCACAAUGGGCGCAAGCCUGAUGCAGCCAUGCCGCGUGUAUGAAGAAGGUCUUAGGAUUGUACAGUACUUUCAGUCGGGAGGCGUUACCGACAGAAUAAGCACCGGCUAACUCCGUGCCAGCAGCCGCGGUAAUUC
This 406-nucleotide ribosomal RNA is filed under the name uncultured bacterium. RNAcentral's name for it is "partial 16S ribosomal RNA". It matches the Rfam family "Bacterial small subunit ribosomal RNA", at positions 30 to 526 of the family's 1533-position model. The record is from RNAcentral.